GGUAGUCCACGCCGUAAACUAUGAAUACUAGCUGUAUGCCGUAUCGACCCGGUAUGUAGCGAAGCUAACGCGUUAAGUAUUCCGCCUGGGGAGUACGGUCGCAAGACUAAAACUCAAAGGAAUUGACGGGAGCCGCACAAGCAGUGGAGCGUGUUGUUUAAUUCGAUGGUAAGCGAAGAACCUUACCAAGGUUUGACAUCCUAGGAAUUUUGAUGAAAGUCGAGAGUGCCUUCGGGAACCUAGUGACAGGUGUUGCAUGGCCGUCGUCAGCUCGUGUCGUGAGAUGUUUGGUUAAG
This 296-nucleotide ribosomal RNA is filed under the name uncultured bacterium. RNAcentral's name for it is "partial 16S ribosomal RNA". It matches the Rfam family "Bacterial small subunit ribosomal RNA", at positions 789 to 1084 of the family's 1533-position model. The record is from RNAcentral.